GAUUUCUGGCUUGAGACUGGCGGCCGACCACGGUUUCGUGUGUUAGUGCUGUCUGUUCUGGCCAUCCUUCCAAUGGCUGUUCUGCUGCUCUUCAUUGAGUGGCAGUCGACAGUAUUGGAUCUUUUACUUUGAAAAAAUUAGAGUGUUUCAAGCAGGCGUUUUUGCUAUGAAUACAUUAGCAUGGAAUAAUAAUUUAGGACUUCGGUUCUAUUUUGUUGGUUUCUAGGACUGAAGUAAUGAUUGAUAGGGAUAGUUGGGGGUGCUAGUAUUCAGCGGCCAGAGGUGAAAUUCUCGGAUUCGCUGAAGACUAACUUAUGCGAAAGCAUU
RNAcentral lists this ribosomal RNA (327 nucleotides) under uncultured Bodomorpha. Its description in RNAcentral is "SSU rRNA". The stretch from base 56 to 327 matches the Rfam family "Eukaryotic small subunit ribosomal RNA", at positions 684 to 955 of the family's 1831-position model. Lineage: Eukaryota; Cercozoa; Glissomonadida. The record is from RNAcentral.